This 390-nucleotide ribosomal RNA is filed under the name Hydrogenophilales bacterium CG18_big_fil_WC_8_21_14_2_50_58_12. RNAcentral's name for it is "bacterial LSU rRNA". It matches the Rfam family "Bacterial large subunit ribosomal RNA", at positions 2549 to 2925 of the family's 2925-position model. Lineage: Bacteria; Pseudomonadati; Pseudomonadota; Hydrogenophilia; Hydrogenophilales. The record is from RNAcentral.
GGGGCUGUAGCCGGUCCCAAGGGUAUGGCUGUUCGCCAUUUAAAGUGGUACGUGAGCUGGGUUUAAAACGUCGUGAGACAGUUUGGUCCCUAUCUGCAGUGGGCGUUGGAAGUUUGAGGGGGGCUGCUCCUAGUACGAGAGGACCGGAGUGGACGAACCUCUGGUGUACCGGUUAUCACGCCAGUGGUAUCGCCGGGUAGCUAUGUUCGGGAGAGAUAACCGCUGAAAGCAUCUAAGCGGGAAACUUGCCUCAAGAUGAGACUUCCCAGGGACUUGAUCCCUCUAAAGGUUCGUUGAAGACCACAACGUUGAUAGGUCGGGUGUGGAAGCGCAGUAAUGCGUUAAGCUAACCGAUACUAAUUGACCGUGAGGCUUGAUCCUAUAACCUUA